CAAUAGCGUAUAUUAAAGUUGUUGCAGUUAAAAAGCUCGUAGUUGGAUUUCUGGUGGGAGCGAUCGGUCUGGCGCUUAGCGCGAGUACUUGCAUCGUCUCCGGCCAUCCUUGGGGAGAGUCUGUCUGGCAUUAAGUUGUCGGGCAGAGGAUCCUCAUCGUUUACUGUGAAAAAAUUAGAGUGUUCAAAGCAGGCUUAUGCCGUUGAAUAUAUUAGCAUGGAAUAAUAAGAUAGGACUUGGGUACUAUUUUGUUGGUUUGCGCACCAAAGUAAUGAUUAAUAGGGACAGUUGGGGGUAUUCGUAUUCCGUUGUCAGAGGUGAAAUUCUUGGAUUUACGGAAGACGAACUACUGCGAAAGCAUUUACCAAGGAUGUUUUCAUUAA
Molecule: ribosomal RNA, 383 nt
Filed under: uncultured eukaryote
Lineage: Eukaryota
Description: partial 18S ribosomal RNA
Rfam family: Eukaryotic small subunit ribosomal RNA
Source: RNAcentral